GGGGGGCUCGACUCAUUGCCAUGGGUCUAUUGGAGCGAUAAGAGGGACCUGAAGUUCCCUAUGGCAGAUCAUUAAAAGGAGAAAAGAAAACAAACAAAAAAAGAUUAAAAACACACAAAAAAAGAGCGUUCGUCUUUGCAAAUAAUUAAUAAUAAUAGUAAUAAUUAAUAAUUAAAAAAGAAAGCAAAUUGGAUGUGGUUUUCUAGUAGUUGAGCGUAUUGAGUUAUUUGGUGGGGGAGAAAUAAUGGAGUUCUGGUGUUGAUGGUUCCGAUGGGUUCCGUCCAACUUGGGAUGAUCCAUAGAUUGGACCCAUAGAUUGGACCCAUAGAUUGGACCCAUUGGUUCUCAUGGGUUCUAGGCCCCAUAGACGACCCCAGUCAACAUCAUAGGCCCCAUAGACAUCAUAGGCCCCAUAGAUGUCCCAAAUCAAUAGGUCCCAUACACGACCCCAAUCAACAUCAUAGGCCCCAUAGACGACCCCAAUCAACAUCAUUGGCCCCAUAGAUGUCAUAGGCCCCAUAGAGGCCCCAAUGAACAUCAUAGGCCCCAUAGAUGACCCCAAUCAACAUCAUAGGCCCCAUAGACGUCAUAGGCCCCAUACACGACCCCAAUCGACAUAAUAGGCCCCAUAGACGACCCCAAUCAACAUCAUUGGCCCCAUAGACAUCAUAGGCCCCAUAGACGACCCCAAUCAACAUCAUAGGCCCCAUAGAUGCCCCCAGUCAACAUCAUUGGCCCCAUAGAUGCCCCCAAUCAACACCACAGACCAUAUCACAAGACCAGACCCCAUAGACUUUAUUGCUGGCUCCCUAUAGGGUCGACCCACCCCCAUGGCUGGGUGGGGGGGGGGAUAUAGGGGGGUACAUUAUAAUAUGGGGGGGGGGGUCUCAGAGCUGCAGAUAUUCAGCCACGAAGGCAAUGAGGAUCUUACACAGGUCUUCUAUGGUUGGGGGGUGAAGGUUGUCCUGGGUGUCAUCCACCGUGUGCCAGACCCACGGGAAGGGGAGGGGGAUGAGGUGCAGCACUGGGACACCCCCUCAUUAUAUCUCCUUAACGCUCCAUCCAGGGCAGCGGCCACCUCCAUCAUGAUGGCGCAUGGGACGGCGGAGUCGACGGCCCCGAUGAACGGAGUCACUUGUGGGGCCGGGAGGAUUUUGGUGUCGUAAUGACAAGCCAAGACCAGACGAUGUGGGGCAGGAGGGGACGAGGUGGCCACCAGGUUGGUGAAGGUCACGGCCCCACGCGGGGUGGGGGAGGUGAAGGUGUCCAGGUCCAAGUGCCAACCGAG
RNAcentral lists this long non-coding RNA (1288 nucleotides) under Coturnix japonica (Japanese quail). RNAcentral describes it as "lncRNA (ENSCJPG00005000329.1)". The record is from RNAcentral. Lineage: Eukaryota; Metazoa; Chordata; Aves; Galliformes; Phasianidae.